UUAAUUUUAUAUAUGCUAAUAAUUUCUUGAAUGUAUCAUCGUCUUUAAAUAAAAUAAUGUGACUUCAUUGACAAUUUUUUUCUUGUUAACUUGCUAAGAAAACCAGCAGACUGAAAAGGAAGCAUGACUCUACGGGGAACCUCAUUUAGCAAAUGGACUUAGAGAGGCUGGACCAGGUUGGGUGAGGCUUUGGGUAUCAAAAAGCCUGCAGGACUGCCUGCUCGCUCUCUCUCCCCGGUCACUACACAGGGAUGUUGGAUUCCGUUCAUAUUUCCUCACUGUGAUCCGAAGUGAAUGUGGUCAUGGGAGAACAUUCACUUAGGACAUGGAAGGGGAAGAACAGAUUCACAAAGAAAUAUUCCAGGAGAGUACACAAAAGGCUUUGGAGAUGAGGUCUUACUAUGCAGUGUAGAUGCCCUGGAAAUCUCUGUGAAGGCCAGAUCAAUGGCUUGCUCAGUCAUCAUUAGAGCUUCCUCCUGCAGUAAAUGGGAACUAAUCCAGAGACCCACGCUGGACAAUGUGGAGCAAGUGAGAGACUUUGAGAGACUCAGACCUCAAUGAUGAUGAAGCAUCAUCACCAAGUUCCUCCUUUCAGGGCUCAGGAAACUAUGGAAAUUUCGAAGCAGGAAUAUUUAAGAGCCCCAGGAGACGAUUGAUACCAGAGAAAGAUCUUCAGGAUACAAAAGAACUUGGAUAUGAAUGAAUUUGGUAUCUUCCAACUAUUUAAUGGGAAAGGACAAGAAUUCAAGUCAAGGUGCUGACUUUGUGCUUAGAAAAUUAUUUGAACCUGAAAAUGAAAGUAUGAUAAGAAUGCUCAGGAUAUUUUUGCCACUGAAUCACAAUACUACUGCUUAAUAAACCAUGUGUAGAGUGAGUAACUUUUCUAAAUCUGAUUAUUCUUGGGCAAUGAGUCCACGGAUUGCUGUACAUGAAAAUACCUUUAAUAUAUAGUUUGUAUGGCACAGUAUAUGUGAGAUAGUUCUUGCAAGGGCUAUUUAUUCAAUUCUCAAAGGUAGACUGGAUUUUCCAGAGAAACAUGCUUUUCCACACAGUUUGUAAUUUCAAAAUCACAGCAAAUGCCUGUUUUGCUCUUAAGGAAAGGUCUUGGAUAGAGAAUGAACAGCUACCAGCCUUUUCGUCUCAAAAUCAGAAGUCACAAGUUGACAGUCAGGCUACUGUUAAAAAAUUGUUUUAAUAUGCCAAACCUCUCCCUUAGUUCUGAAUGCAUACUGAAUUAAUAGCAACUAAAUUAUGCAUGUUUCCUUUAAACCUGAAACUAACUGGUACUAUAAGAUAGAUCAACAGCCUCAUUUAAGGAACUAGAGAAAUGGUCCUUGAAAGUAUAGUCUUCACCUCCUCCUUGAAGAAAUGAGACAGAGGAGACAAGAAAAUUCACACAAACACAAAUAAUAAAAUAUUUUAAAAAGACUACGUUGAAAUAGAAAACUUUUCCUGGCACGAACCAGAGCAGUUUUUGUGACAUGUGACAGAGAAAGCAGAGCUCUUAAGCCUGACAAAGAUGAUGUCUUCCUUUGCGGAUAGAAGGAAUGAUUUCUCUCCUGGAUUAUUCUAGAUGAUGUCAAAUUGUCAAAGAGUAUUAAUUAUCACAUGUGUUUCAGUGGGUAUAUUUCCAGGAUAUAGGAAAAUAACAAAGCAGCAUCCUAUCUCUAAAGAUAGAACAUAAAGCUAAGGUUUAUAGUCACAAAAUAAAAAAAAAUAUAGCCACCUAUCCUAACUCAGUCCAAGUUAUUAAUAACUGAGUAUGUGUGUAGUUAUAAAAUUCAUUUAGUUCAUUUAUACCCUAUUAUCUGUUUCAUUUUUAACAACAAUUAAAUCUGUCUAAAGACCUUUUAUGAACUGAAAUGACUAAAUGGGAAAGGAAAACAUCUAAAGCUUUACGUUCCAAAGUAGACUCUAUAGGAGGUUUUUUAAAUGUGGCGUAUCUAACCCAUCUAUGACCUACUAAGCCACAGUCUGAAUUUUCAUAAGAAAUCCAGGUGAUUUAAAUAUAGGCUAAUUUGAUAGAAACAGAAAUAGAAGACACAACCGGUAAAUACAAAUAGAGGUAAGUCGCCAAGUAAAAUUUGUAAAUUAACAUUCUUUCAAUGUCGACACUAUUCCGACACAGUUCCCAUUUUGUUUCCUAAUUUAUAAAAUGAGGAUAGUAUUUUAUCAGACUCUGGUGGUUUGAAAGGGAAUGGCCCACCAAGGCUCAAGCAUUUUAAUGUUUAGUCACCAGGGAGUGUACCUGUUUGAGGUGUAGGAGGUGUGGUCUUGUUAGAGGAAGUGUGGACUUGUGGAGAGAGAUGUGUCAUUGUGGGUAGACUUUGAGAUUUCAAAAGCCCACUCAAGGCCCAGUGUCUCUCUCUGCCUGCACCCUACAGAUCAGCAUGUAAAGUUCCCAGCUAUUGCUCAGCACCAUGUCUGCUUGCCUGCUACCAUGUUCCAAAUGAUGAUAAUGAACUAACUCUCUGGAACUGUAAGUCAGCCUUCAGUUAAAUGCUUUCUCUUAUAAGUUAUUUUGGUCAUGGUGUUUAUUUCCAGGAACAGAAUGGUAACUAAGACAGCUUCAAAGAAAUAAUAUGAUGUUAAUGAUUGAUGGUAUUAUUAAUUAAAUAAUACAGACAAAUUUUGCAUAAGAUACCAAUAAGAAAUGUUUAUAAAAUACAGGGUGGUGGUGGCACAUUCCUUUACUAGUUUCAGGACAGGCUCCAAAGCU
Myodes glareolus (Bank vole) is the source of this 2719-nucleotide non-coding RNA. The record is from RefSeq and is a predicted model, not a curated record. NCBI's taxonomy places the organism in Eukaryota, Metazoa, Chordata, Mammalia, Rodentia, Cricetidae.